CGCUUUACAAGAAUCUGUUUAGUUGGGAUUUCCCCUAGAUUUUGUUAUUUUGAUCAUUCUCAGAUUUGACCUAUGGAUUUGACGUGUUGAUGUUAUAAGGUAACCUCCAGCAUACCAUAGUGUCAUAUACAAGAAACACUAGGAAGUUGAUCAUGAAUCUCAUUGAUGAACAGCAGAAAGCCUUGGAAUUUCUCUCAAGUCAGAUAAUCAAGCUCAUGGCCAAAGUAAACACACUUAGUUCACAUGUGCAGAGAAGCUACAGUGACAUCUUUUCCAUGAAGCACAUGGAGUCCCACGGGAGAGACCGUAGUGACAUCCAAGAGACACUAGGUGUCGUGUCUACAAAAAUCCCUAGUGGAAUUUAUAUAAUUCAGCCAGAAAACACAGAUGUUUCCUUUGAGGAAAGUACCUUCUUUUAGUUUUGUUUAAACAUUUCCAACCAGUUAUUUUAAUUUAAAAGCCAAUCAAACAUUCAGCAUCUUAAACUGGCCAUCUAACAGGUGUUCUGUGCGAUGGAUUACAUGGAGGGUGGAUGGACACUAAUACAGAGAUGGACGGAUGGUCUCACUGACUUCAAAUGAAUGUGGUCACAAUACUUGGAUGGAUUUGGACACUUACCGGGUAAACACUGGUUGGGUAUGAGAAAAAUCUUCAAUAUUGUGAAUCAGAGAAACACACGUUUCCAGCUGCACGUGUCUCUGGUCUCACAAGAUGACACCACCGCCCUAUGCUUCAUAUGACAAUUUCUGGCUUGAAGAUGAAACCAAAUUCUUUGCAAUACACCUUGGCAGAUAUGCUUUUUUUUGCAGGUGAUGCUUUUUGAGGGUAUGACCAAGAGCAGAAUCAAGACACAGUCCCUUUCAGUACCUUUGAUGUUGACAAUGAUGAUUGUUCUCCAUUCUGCAAUUUUGCUGAUAAAGCUGUUGACAGCUGCAGUGUGAACCAAAACAACACAGGAUGGUGGUUUAACCAGUGUGGCAUGACAAAUUUGAAUGGCUCACCAUCAGACCAAGAUCUCUCCACGCAGUCAAAUAUUCAUUGGGACACCUGGACCCAAAAUGGCACGCUUGUCAAAAUCAAAUCAGUGACUAUGAAGAUCAGAAUAGUUGAGAUUUCAAAUUCAAAAUAAAUCCCUGAAGCUUCUGAAGAUUUUGUAUUAAAAUGGAACAAUUUGGAAUCAUUAAAAACGUGCACUUCUGCCUUGUGAGAUUUACUAAAACAGCAAGUUGUAGGAAUACAGUUUUUGGCAUUGUAAUUAAGUUAACCAUGUUUUUUGUAAAUCCUGAGUCACAGGCCAAAAUAUUCAUACUAAUCGAAUCAUUGUUAUGAAUCAUGGGAAUUGAGUCAUUACGCAUAAGUUUUUUUACAUUUAUUUUUUUAACAUGGAACUACAAUAGAUUAAACCAAAUAAUCCAGUCUGGAAGAAACCGUCAAACAGUCAGCACUGGAAAUUACAUGAGAUUUUAUUCAAAUAAAAGCUUGUUUCCAUCAAAUAAAUAAAGAAGGUAAUUGUUAGGUAAAGUAAAGUUCCUAAAAUACUUUCGGUCUUUGAUUUUUAAUUCUUUGGUCUACAGUGGCAUGACCAAAUGGGUGGCAUGAAGUGGCCCCAGACAGCCCUAAUAUGUAAUAGGCCACCCUAAGAUAGAGGUCCUUUUAUCAAAAGAAAUAACAUCAACAUGUAGAGCCACCAAGCCUAGAAGUAUUAGAGAUCAUCAGAGGACACACAUUUGUCCAUAAAUCCAUAAAAUGUGGACAAAGUUGUUAUAUUUUAAGCAAAAAUAAAUAAGAAGUAAUUUUAGACAACAUUAGAAAAAGUUGUCCCUUGCCAAACUUACUUGUGUGAGAAAUGAAAUAGAAAUAAAAAAUAAAAUUAACAACAAAACUAAAGCAACUGAAUAAUAACUGAAAUGAAACUAACAAAUCAUUUGAAAUUUAAAUAAAAACAUAAACUACAUUAAAAACCCAAAAUUAUAUCUUGAUUAAUAGACGCAAUUCCAAGAUCCAGUCACGCUGUGACAUAUAAAGUCAGUUUGGGAGAGUGAAAGUCUGAAUUACAGAAACAAAGUUAGAUGCUGGAUAUAAAUUCACAUGGUUGGAUAUAUAGUAGAAACAGGCGUUUCUAAAAAAAUAUUUACAACCUCUCUCUUAGACGGCAUACAUUAAGAUUAAUAAAAAUGUUUUAAUAAUGUUCUGACAACAAAGAGUUUUAAGGUGACCAGGCACUUUGAAAUAAGAGUGAACAGCAGUGUCGCCAUUGAUGUGGGUGGCCUAUUGUUUGUCCUGAUUCAUCGGCAGGACAGAGAUAAUUAAUAUGCUUUAAAUAAGCUGCGUACUGUGUGGGCCACUAUUAGCAUCACUGUUCGUGGGUAAAUAUGUCAGUUGUUAUGUGUGUAUACGUUAAACCAUCUGUACUAUGUCUAUUUAGAGCAAAGAAUUCUGCCAAAUUUUAUCCUGCCAAAUACUAAACAAAAAUCCAGUUCUGCUGAAGCAUUUUGUAAGCAGGAACUUGCCCUGGGCCUAUGUGGGAGUCACCGUGAGAGAGUGCAGGGUAACCAGAUAACACCAAACACCAUGCUAUCAGCAUGAGAAUUUGGGUUUUAGUGCCCAAAAGGGAUGAUUAUUUUAAAAGAGACAUGGACAAUGGUAAUGUCCCAAACUUUUGCACUGCUAAGCAAUGGUCUACCAAUGGAGCCAUAGGAACACAUCCUGCACCUAAUUAUUAUUAUUUAAUUUUUUUUUUUUCUGGGGACAGUGCACUGGUCAGAGUUUUGCUUUACUUCUUGAUAUUAGCAGGAAAGGAAAAAAACAUAACUUGUAAGUGUAAUGUAUAUUGCUCUUAAAAUUAAUACAUUUUUAAAUGAGUUUAAAAUAAUUUUAACAUAUUUAUUAAAAAAAUUAUAUACAGAAAUGGACCUACAGAAAGUGAGACUUGAUUGGACUGUUUCAAUUUAGACACGUGAAUUGUUGAUUUUCCUUUUUUCUUUAACUAUUUAUAAUAUUAAUAUACACAAUGUAUUAAUACCUAAUUAAAGUUCAUUAAAAAAAUUUUGGUUGGUAAAACACUUUUAAUGUUUUUGAAAGAAAUCUUUAAAUUCUCAUCAAGGCUGCAUUUAUUUGAUGAAAACAGUAAAAUCAGUAAUAUUAUAUGCAAUCUUCAGUGUCACAAGAUCCUUAGAAAUAAUUUCGAAUUAGUAUCAGUGUUAAAAACGGUUGUGCUUUUAUAAUUUAGUUUUGAAUGAACAUGACUGCAUAACAUGACCGUAUUAAUACAUAUAUUUCAGCCACUUAGCAAACAAGGCAGGUACACUGAGUUUGCCAAUAAUAACAGAGAUCAUUUACAUAUAGAAUUCUUAAAGUUACAGUAGCAAAGAACAGCUAGCAUAACGCUUAGGAUCGGAGAGAGGGUGGGAAAUGGUCAUGUAAAAAUGAAUGACAACUGCUUUUGUGCAAUAACCUUGUGUUAUAAGUUGACUUCAGUGGGGAAGAUGCUACAAAAUAGAAGUGUAUAAAAUGGCCCUUUUCAGGUGAUUUACACACACAAACACACACACCCUCACACACACAUACAGUACUAUGAAAAAUUAAAACCACACACAAAAAAACCCAAAAACAUAUUGAGACAACCAUUUACUAGAGGAUAUAUUAUAUAAAGCUGCAGUAAA
Molecule: long non-coding RNA, 3662 nt
Organism: Carassius gibelio (silver crucian carp)
Lineage: Eukaryota; Metazoa; Chordata; Actinopteri; Cypriniformes; Cyprinidae
Exons: 6
Source: RefSeq, a predicted model, not a curated record